UACGUAGGGUGCGAGCGUUGUCCGGAAUUAUUGGGCGUAAAGAGCUCGUAGGCGGCUUGUCGCGUCGGAUGUGAAAGCCCGGGGCUUAACUCCGGGUCUGCAUUCGAUACGGGCAGGCUAGAGUUCGGUAGGGGAGAUGGAAUUCCUGGUGUAGCGGUGAAAUGCGCAGAUAUCAGGAGGAACACCGGUGGCGAAGGCGGGUCUCUGGGCCGAUACUGACGCUGAGGAGCGAAAGCGUGGGGAGCGAACAGGAUUAGAACCGGUACGUCGAGUCCAAGUCCAUCUGCUACCGA
RNAcentral lists this ribosomal RNA (293 nucleotides) under uncultured bacterium. RNAcentral's name for it is "partial 16S ribosomal RNA". It matches the Rfam family "Bacterial small subunit ribosomal RNA", at positions 524 to 820 of the family's 1533-position model. The record is from RNAcentral.